Molecule: non-coding RNA, 501 nt
Filed under: Neurospora tetrasperma FGSC 2509
Lineage: Eukaryota; Fungi; Ascomycota; Sordariomycetes; Sordariales; Sordariaceae
Description: Eukaryotic small subunit ribosomal RNA
Rfam family: Eukaryotic small subunit ribosomal RNA
Source: Rfam by way of RNAcentral
GCCAGUAGUCAUAUGCUUGUCUCAAAGAUUAAGCCAUGCAUGUCUAAGUUUAAGCUAAAUUAAACCGACGAAACUGCGAAUGGCUCAUUAAAUCAGUUAUUAGUUUAUUUGAUAGUACCUUACUACAUGGAUAACCGUGGUAAUUCUAGAGCUAAUACAUGACUAAAAACCCCGACUUCGGAAGGGGUGUAUUUAUUAGAUUAAAAACCAAUGCCCUUCGGGGCUAACUGGUGAUUCAUAAUAACUUCUCGAAUCGCAUGGCCUUGCGCUGGCGAUGGUUCAUUCAAAUUUCUGCCCUAUCAACUUUCGACGGCUGGGUCUUGGCCAGCCAUGGUGACAACGGGUAACGGAGGGUUAGGGCUCGACCCCGGAGAAGGAGCCUGAGAAACGGCUACUACAUCCAAGGAAGGCAGCAGGCGCGCAAAUUACCCAACUCCCGACACGGGGAGGUAGUGACAAUAAAUACUGAUACAGGGCUCUUUUGGGUCUUGUAAUUGGAAU